GUGCUCAUUUCAGAAGCACAUAUACUACAAUUGAAAUGUUGCAAAGAAGAUUAGCAUGGAUCCUGAACAAAGAUGAUAUGCAAAUUGGUAAAGUGCUCAAUUUUUUG
Molecule: small nuclear RNA, 107 nt
Organism: Lagopus muta (rock ptarmigan)
Lineage: Eukaryota; Metazoa; Chordata; Aves; Galliformes; Phasianidae
Source: RefSeq, a predicted model, not a curated record